Long non-coding RNA from Equus caballus (horse), 2631 nucleotides. NCBI's taxonomy places the organism in Eukaryota, Metazoa, Chordata, Mammalia, Perissodactyla, Equidae. The record is from Ensembl.
CUUGAGGAAAAUGAGCAUUUUCCUACUUUUUGCAAGGUCGCUGCUCCAUGUGAGACGAUUGGAGGAUUUUCAAGCAAAGAAAAUCUCCUCAGCCAUAGGAGAGAAAGCUACUUCCACAGCCCCCCGGUACAUAGUUGCAUAUUCUUCAUUGUGGGUCCUUCUAGUUGUGGCAUGUGGGACGCUGCCUCAGCGUGGUUUGAUGAGCAGUGCCAUGUCUGCGCCCAGGAUUCGAACCAAUGAAACACCGGGCCACCUGCAGCGGAGCAUGCAAACUUAACCACUCGGCCACGGGGCCAGCCCCUAGGGACAGUUUUCUUGGACUGUUGGGCUGCUCUUGAUAAAGAGAUUAUGGGAGUGACAUCAGCAUCAUGGCAGAUUCACAGCCUGGUGACCGGGUGUUCUGGAAGCAUCAUCAGAGGAAGACAGGUCUUGAGCCCCACUGGAAAGGACCUUACCAAGUGCUCCUAACCACUGACGCUACUGGAGAACUAGAAUGCAUUGAACCUUGCAGAUACAUCUCACGGCUAAAGAAGUCUCCACCUGACAUCCAGUCCUGUACAAGCACUGGAGACCUCCAAAUAAAAUUAACUAGGAAGAGAAGCUGCUGACAUCUGAGGCAGACAGCUUUCCCAAGAUGGGGGGACCAGGCCUGUAUACCUUUUGCUCGCUGUUGCUUCCUACUGUAUAUUCUCCCUUUCCUUCUUGGAAAGACAAUACUCUUAAUUGCAUCUCCCAACCUAUUACAAAAGGGGGAAAUCUUUCUGAAUAUUGAAUUUGUCAUCAGAAGCCUCAUUCUAUAUAUGGAUCUAGGGCAUCCUUUAGUAUAUUUAACCGCCAGUCUCUCCACCAUUCCUCACCUAAUUCCUUGUGCUAGGUGUCUAGAACUUCUUGCCUAACCAAUCAAACCUCCAGAGAUUAAGAGGUAACAUUUGUAUCUGUUGUAAAUACCUCGUCUUACUUGAGUAAACACCUCUGGCAAAGUAGAGACAGACUAGACAGAAUUUGAGCACAAAUGGGUAAAUGCAGUGCCCACUGACAUCCCAUGGUUAGUUGAUCUCUUUAGCUGGCUGCCCUCAGGUCUAUUCAGGUCUAUUCUCCAAUUUGGACUUAGAAUUUUGUGUGUUAUUGUGGGAAUUCUCAUUGUUAUAAAACUUUGUCUCCUCUGCAUAGUUCGAUGUUUUAAAAACACCACUUGGAUAAUGACUGCUCAGUGCUUUGAAAUAAUUACUAAAGUUUAUGAAAUUUCACAUGAGAAACUUCAAGGAACUGUAGAAGAUGUUUACCCUUAAAAUAACUUCACAGUAGAGCCUUCCUCUGCUCUGGUGUUCUGUCACUCAAAUGUGGCCUAAAGGCUCCUAAAGAAACCUCUUUCCCCCCCUACAUGGGACAUGACAUAGCAGGAAUGAGCCUUCCUGGCAAUGAGGGACCAAUAUGCUCUGAUGGCUGAUCAGCACUGCUUUCCAAUAGUCUACCAGCAAUGCUUUCCAGUGUUUGAUUAGUUAAUACUUUUAGAAAAAUAUCUUGAUCAAAAGUGGAAAAUGUAUGGGGCUGGCCAGGUGGUGUAGUGGUUAAGUUCGUGUGCUCCACUUUGGCGGCCCAGGGUUUGCAGGUUCAGAUCCCUGGCAUGGAUCUACACACUGCUCAUCAAGCCAUGCUAUGGUGGCAUCCCAUAUACAAAAUAGAGGAAGAUGGGCACAGUUGUCAGCUCAGGGCUAAUCUUCUUCAGCAAAAAGAGGAAGAUUCACAAUGGGUGUUAUCUCAGAGCCAAUCUUGGUUAACCAAAGGAAAAAAAAAAAAAAAUGACUGGAGGGAAACGUGAAAGUUGACUUGAGUGGAGCCAUAUUAAAAUACAGUUGGAUGGGGGCUGGCCCAGUGGUGCAGGAGUUAAGUUCUCAUGUUCCUCUUCUCAGCGGCCUCGGGUUCGCCAGUUUGGAUCCCAGAUGCGGACAUAGCACUGCUUGGCAAAAGCCAUGCUGUGGUAGGCGUCCCACAUAUAAAGUAGAGGAAGAUGGGCAUGGAUGUUAGCUCAGGGUGAGUCUUCCUCAGCAAAAAGAGGAGGAUUGGCGGUAGUUAGCUCAGGGCUGAUCUUCCUCAAAAAAAUAAAAAAAUAAAAUAAAAUACAGUUGGAGCAGCCAUUUCAGAGGAAUUGCCUUGCAUGUCUUGUUUUCUUUAUCUUCCAAACUGGACCAAACUGCCAACAUUCCAAGUCAGUAAGGACAAGAAUAUGCUGAUUGUAAGGACUGAUGAAAUUGGACUUUGCUGAUGACUGAAUCACUAACCAAUCAAUGAAGUAUAAGUCGAGCCUUUUGCCUGAUGCCUGAAUCUCAUGCCAAUCUAUGAUAUACAAACCUAGCCUUAUCUCAUCCAGCACCGAUGAACUCUUCUUUAACACAACUCACCUCCUCUUCCUCCCUUUUUCCCAUAAAAACUCUGAGCCCUUCUCUUGUAAUCAGGACACUAUUUGUCUUUCUACCUGCGUCUGUGUCCCCUGAAUUGGAACUCUUUGAUCCCAAAUAAAUGCUUUGCCUCUUAAACAGGUUUCUGUUUUGAAGGUUGACAGUAAGAUGCUAUUAGGGGAAGCUAAGUGAAGCGUAGAUGAGAUCUCUUUGUAUUAUCUUUGCAACUCUUCUG